RNAcentral lists this ribosomal RNA (442 nucleotides) under uncultured bacterium. RNAcentral describes it as "partial 16S ribosomal RNA". It matches the Rfam family "Bacterial small subunit ribosomal RNA", at positions 338 to 795 of the family's 1533-position model. The record is from RNAcentral.
CCUACGGGCGGCAGCAGUGGGGAAUAUUGGGCAAUGGGCGCAAGCCUGACCCAGCAACGCCGCGUGAAGGAAGAAGGCUUUCGGGUUGUAAACUUCUUUUAAGAGGGAAGAGAAGCAGACGGUACCUCUUGCAUAAGGCACGGCUAACUACGUGACAGCAGCCGCGGUAAUACGUAGGCGGCAAGCGUUGUCCGGAUUUACUGGGUGUAAAGGGCGUGUAGCCGGGCAGACAAGUCUGAUGUGAAAUGCCGGGGCUCAACCCCGGACCUGCAUUGGAGACUGUUGGACUUGAGUAUCGGAGAGGCAGGCGGAAUUCCUAGUGUAGCGGUGAAAUGCGUAGAUAUUAGGAGGAACACCAGUGGCGAAGGCGGCCUGCUGGACGACAACUGACGGUGAGGCGCGAAAGCGUGGGGAGCAAACAGGAUUAGAUACCCCAGUAGUC